This 27-nucleotide small RNA is filed under the name Bombyx mori (domestic silkworm). RNAcentral's name for it is "ovarian small RNA-35180". Lineage: Eukaryota; Metazoa; Arthropoda; Insecta; Lepidoptera; Bombycidae. The record is from RNAcentral.
UGGUGAUGUAGGUGCUGAAAUGAUAGA